UGGCGUGUAGGUGGUUUCGAUGAGAUCCAAUCUCAUCUUGAUAAGGAGUUAUCUUUGAAAUCAAAUUUCAAACCUUCCUUUUAUCAAAAUCAAUCCAUAUUUGGCAUUGAGAAAGGGGCGACAUCUAUGUUAUUGGCAUAGAGAAACUUUGUGCAAAACAUUUUUAGCAUGAAGAAAAAAUGGCAUCCAUAAUUGGGUGGCGCA
This 204-nucleotide long non-coding RNA is filed under the name Elaeis guineensis (African oil palm). Its description in RNAcentral is "long non-coding RNA (EGUI_LNC046991)". The record is from RNAcentral. Lineage: Eukaryota; Viridiplantae; Streptophyta; Magnoliopsida; Arecales; Arecaceae.